Molecule: non-coding RNA, 73 nt
Organism: Paramuricea clavata
Lineage: Eukaryota; Metazoa; Cnidaria; Anthozoa; Malacalcyonacea; Plexauridae
Source: the annotation of a GenBank genome assembly
GACCGCAUAGCUCAAUUGGAAGAGCUUUUGAAUAGUAUUCCAAAGGUCGUAGGUUCGAAUCCUGCCGCGGCCA